AACGAACGCUGGCGGCAUGCCUAACACAUGCAAGUCGAACGAGACCUUCGGGUCUAGUGGCGCACGGGUGCGUAACGCGUGGGAACCUGCCCUUAGGUUCGGAAUAACUCCCCGAAAGGGGUGCUAAUACCGGAUAAUGUCUUCGGACCAAAGAUUUAUCGCCUUUGGAUGGGCCCGCGUUGGAUUAGCUAGUUGGUAGGGUAAAAGCCUACCAAGGCGACGAUCCAUAGCUGGUCUGAGAGGAUGAUCAGCCACACUGGGAAUGAGACACGGCCCAGACUCCUACGGGAGGCAGCAGUGGGGAAUAUUGGACAAUGGGCGAAAGCCUGAUCCAGCAAUGCCGCGUGAGUGAUGAAGGCCUUAGGGUUGUAAAGCUCCUUUACCCGGGAUGAUAAUGACAGUACCGGGAGAAUAAGCUCCGGCUAACUCCGUG
This 433-nucleotide ribosomal RNA is filed under the name uncultured bacterium. RNAcentral's name for it is "partial 16S ribosomal RNA". It matches the Rfam family "Bacterial small subunit ribosomal RNA", at positions 29 to 507 of the family's 1533-position model. The record is from RNAcentral.